CGGGCUGUGGCUCAGUGGUAGAGCGCUCGCCUGGCACACGUGAGGCACUGGGUUCAAUCCUCAGCACCACAU
This is a non-coding RNA of Ictidomys tridecemlineatus (thirteen-lined ground squirrel), 72 nucleotides long. NCBI's taxonomy places the organism in Eukaryota, Metazoa, Chordata, Mammalia, Rodentia, Sciuridae. The record is from Rfam.